Molecule: ribosomal RNA, 257 nt
Filed under: uncultured bacterium
Lineage: Bacteria
Description: partial 16S ribosomal RNA
Rfam family: Bacterial small subunit ribosomal RNA
Source: RNAcentral
GACAGAGGUGCCGAGCGUUAGGCGGAAUCACUGGGCUUAAAAGCGUGUGUAGGCGGGUCCGUAAGUACCUUGUGGAAAUCCCAACGGCUCAACCGUGGAACUGCUUGGUAUACUGCGGGUCUUGAGCCACCUAGGGGCAAGUGGAACAAACGGUGGAGCGGUGAAAUGCGUAGAUAUCGUUUGGAACGCCAAUGGUGAAAACAACUUGCUGGGGGUGUGCUGACGCUGAGACACGAAAGCCAGGGGAGCAAAACGGG